GCACAAGCUCAGUUGGUAGAGCACGACCUUGCCAAGGUCGGGGUCGCGAGUUCGAGUCUCGUUUCCCGCUCCA
Molecule: transfer RNA, 73 nt
Filed under: Enterobacter ludwigii
Lineage: Bacteria; Pseudomonadati; Pseudomonadota; Gammaproteobacteria; Enterobacterales; Enterobacteriaceae
Description: tRNA-Gly
Rfam family: tRNA (bases 6-62)
About the family: Transfer RNA (tRNA) molecules are approximately 80 nucleotides in length. Their secondary structure includes four short double-helical elements and three loops (D, anti-codon, and T loops).
Source: RNAcentral